Molecule: ribosomal RNA, 483 nt
Filed under: uncultured bacterium
Lineage: Bacteria
Description: partial 16S ribosomal RNA
Rfam family: Bacterial small subunit ribosomal RNA
Source: RNAcentral
AUUGAACGCUGGCGGCAGGCCUAACACAUGCAAGUCGAGCGGAUGAAGGGAGCUUGCUCCUGGAUUCAGCGGCGGACGGGUGAGUAAUGCCUAGGAAUCUGCCUGGUAGUGGGGGAUAACGUCCGGAAACGGGCGCUAAUACCGCAUACGUCCUGAGGGAGAAAGUGGGGGAUCUUCGGACCUCACGCUAUCAGAUGAGCCUAGGUCGGAUUAGCUAGUUGGUGGGGUAAAGGCCUACCAAGGCGACGAUCCGUAACUGGUCUGAGAGGAUGAUCAGUCACACGUGAGCUGAGACACGGUCCAGCCUCCUACGGGAGGCAGCAGUGGGGAAUAUUGGACAGUGGGCGAAAGCCUGAUCCAGCCAUGCCGCGUGUGUGAAGAAGGUCUUCGGAUUGUAAAGCACUUUAAGUUGGGAGGAAGGGCAGUAAGUUAAUACCUUGCUGUUUUGACGUUACCAACAGAAUAAGCACCGGCUAACUUCGU